UACUUCGAGGAGUGGCUAGCGGAGCGCCUGUAGCUGGUGCGGCAGUGGCUCUGGCUGGAGUGGUGAGUCAAAGAGGUACCGGAACUGUUCACGGAGCUGUGGUAGGCACAGCAGGAGCCCCUGGUCCCGGAGGGCAAGCUGUGGCAGGAAAGUGCCCACCAAGACCGGCUCCUCAGAGUCCGCGUCGUGCGGCCGCUUCUCUCGCGAAGCCGGAAGCGAGAAAGACCGCCUGGUUCGAGGAGGUGAGUAAGACAGGAGGUGAGCAAGGUAGGAGGAGGAGUAUGCGUAAGGGAGGAGACGAAGAAGAAAGAGUUUAGUGAAGUAUGUACCGUAGAGUACGAGGUGCGUCUCUGCCGCGCAUGUCGGCAGCUAAAAAAACAACGGUACGAGCCGGGUUGGAGAGGGUACAGCGUCACAUCCGGUACAAGCGACGGUGGCACCUACGACCACGGAAGCGACAUACUAAAAAACGAUGUAGGUAAAAAGAACGAACUUGGCGAGGUAAAAAAGGACCUUGGUCUCGAGCUGAAACGAUGUUACGAUCCUGCCACCGACGGUUCGUAAAACGACGUAGCUAAAAAAACCGACCUUGAUCGUUAAUCAAAACGAUGUAGGUCGGCUUUCGUCUCGACCUUGACAAAAAGUAAAUACGAUGGUGAUCGCUUUUGGUAAAAAAACAACAACUUCGUAAAAACGACCUUGGUCGUUGGUGCUUUCGAUGUUGGCCCUCUCAUGUCCAAAAAACGCUCGAGCAGCCUCCUCCACGACGCGGGCUGCUGGCGGCACGCGGCCCCUACGCCGCCGGCGGUGGCCUCGACACUGACAGCUUUGCCCCUGGACGUUGAUGUCCCUGUUCGACGACGUAAGUGCCUCGGCCGCUCUUUGUUUUCUCUGCUGCUGCCGUUGCCGCCGCGGCCGCCGGCCGUUCCCGCCGCUGUCCGCUUUAUGCGGCCCGUCUCGAAGAUC
This 966-nucleotide ribosomal RNA is filed under the name Triticum aestivum (bread wheat). RNAcentral describes it as "partial small subunit ribosomal RNA". Lineage: Eukaryota; Viridiplantae; Streptophyta; Magnoliopsida; Poales; Poaceae. The record is from RNAcentral.